Grammomys surdaster is the source of this 126-nucleotide small nucleolar RNA. RefSeq annotates it as small nucleolar RNA SNORA17. NCBI's taxonomy places the organism in Eukaryota, Metazoa, Chordata, Mammalia, Rodentia, Muridae. The transcript has a single exon. The record is from RefSeq and is a predicted model, not a curated record.
AUAGCCCUUAUAGAGGCAUUCAUUGUAGAUAAGGCUGAUGUGCCACAUGUACAACAGUAGAUGGCAGAGAGAAGAGAAGCUAUGUUUAUUCUAGGUGAACAUAUGAAUGAUUAUUAGUUUAAUACU